Long non-coding RNA from Lepidothrix coronata (blue-crowned manakin), 1833 nucleotides. Lineage: Eukaryota; Metazoa; Chordata; Aves; Passeriformes; Pipridae. The record is from Ensembl.
GUGGCAAUAGGAAGGUUAUGUGACUGCCAGCGGAAAAGAGGCCUUUCUAACACUCUUGUGAGUUGCCAUGGUAUAACAAGUUAUAUCAGCUGACCUGUUGUAGUUGUUUAUCCCAUACUUCUAACCUGCAGUAAAUACAAGGUAAUAAAAUUUUAAUUUUAGCAUUUAAUGAGAGACUUCAUGCCACCACAGACUUAUGAGCCUUACCUCAUACAUGUUUAUCAUGUAUGUUCCUUAGUAAACUGACUUUGCAUUGCUGCCAUCAGCCUGGCUGGUCCCCACAGUAUGCUGUCUGAUGCAGAUCCAAACUCAGUUUGUGCAGCUUCUGUUUUAGGGCUUUCUUCAUUCCCCAAAGGGUACUCUGCAGCUAAAUAAAAACUGAGGUCAGGAGAGUUGUCCUCAUAUUAAAACCGGAGGUUAUUAUUUUUGAAACCCCAAGAUAAGGAUAUUCCCUUGCUAUUUUAUGACAUGCACUCCAGGAGAAGGUUUCUCUUCCUGUACCAGCACAAAGAUGGACAAAAUGUAUUUUUUGCUUUGAAAAGCUAUUAAGCUUUUGUCCUUUUGACUAAACUUGCCCUAAGAGUGACAGAUUAAAAGGCAAGUAAGAACAUAGCAAACUAUCCCCUUAGUGUUUCACAGCAUGGGGUCUAGAAGAGAAAACUUGGGGUCAGUAUUGAAGAUUGUCCUUAGCUGGGUUCAGCCUGUCACUUGGGCAAUUUUACAGCUGUCUUUCAUUGGCUUCUCCUUCUGUCCCAGCUCUACAUGUUGCUUCACAGCCAUGGCACCGAUUCCUGCUCUUCACACUGCUCAAUGGGGGCCAGAAGUCCUUUCUGCAGCCAGAAGUUCUGAGGCUGAUGACUUUGUUUGUGAGAUAUCAGAGCAGCAAUAUUAUUUCUCAAAAAGAAAUUAGCCAGAUUCUUCAGGAGGCAGCAGAAGCCAACUUAGCAGAACUGCCUGAGGCCACAUGUUGUGCUCUUCACCACUUCCUUUGUCAGAUUCAGAGCAGUCAUUACCAGGUGGAGCCAGUGCAGUCAGGGACCAUUCAGACCUUGCUGGAUCGUCUCCUGGGACAGAGGACCACGUGUAUAAAACAUCAGGACAUUGUAUGUCUGGGAAGCGUGGCAGUGUCCCUCUCACACAUUGGCAACUGAAAUGAGAAGAUGCGAUGUGCAGAGCAGAGGAAAAAGGCAAGAAUGGAGCAAAGACCCCAUCCUGCCAUUUAUUCCCAGUGAAUAGUAAGUAGAGAGAGAAGAUGGACAAAGGAAGUAAUUUGUUGCUCAUUUUGAGAAAAAGCUUUGCUGAAACUCAUUUAUAAAGUUCUGUUGCUGAAACGGCUCAGUUUCCUUUUCUGUGCAGGGUGAGGCUUGGUUGAUGCCCUUCAGCUAUCAAACUGCAGACCUGCCGGGGGAAACGAUGGCGUAGAGGGAUGCCAUGGAAGAGGUGCUCUGCUCACCCGCCUUGGCUCAUGGCUCUCCGAGAUGGCCCCUUAGCUCUGGGCUGGCAGGGGCGGCGGGGGCUCAGCGAGGACCCCGGGGAAGCAGGAUAUGCCUCGUGUGCCAUGGUGCUGAGUAGACUUCUUCCAGCUCACGAGUGACUCCUUCGACUACAGCUCCAGCCCCCACAACUGUCCUGUUGCCUCCACACCCUUUAAGUGUCCCGUUCCCGUCGAGGCUCUAAUUAACGGGGUUCCUUCCCUCGCGGAGCCGGGAGAAACCCUCCCACAACGAGAGCGGCCCCGACGGGGGGAAACCUCCCAGCGCCGGGGGCCCAAACCCGGGCAGCCCCGCCGGUGUGGGGCCGGUGCCGGGGCGGGGCGGGGACUCAGGAAGUGAC